This 114-nucleotide ribosomal RNA is filed under the name Pediculus humanus corporis (human body louse). The record is from RNAcentral. Lineage: Eukaryota; Metazoa; Arthropoda; Insecta; Psocodea; Pediculidae.
GUCAACGGCCGUAUCAUGCCAAACCCAUCGGUUCUCGUUCGAUCACCGAAGAGGCAUCGGGCGUGAUUUGUGUUCGGACGGGUGACCGCUUGAAAACUUCACGUGCCGUUGGCU